This 425-nucleotide ribosomal RNA is filed under the name uncultured bacterium. RNAcentral describes it as "partial 16S ribosomal RNA". It matches the Rfam family "Bacterial small subunit ribosomal RNA", at positions 354 to 796 of the family's 1533-position model. The record is from RNAcentral.
GUGGGGAAUCUUAGACAAUGGGGGAAACCCUGAUCUAGCCAUGCCGCGUGAGCGAUGAAGGCCUUAGGGUUGUAAAGCUCUUUCAGCUGGGAAGAUAAUGACUGUACCAGCAGAAGAAGCCCCGGCUAACUCCGUGCCAGCAGCCGCGGUAAUACGGAGGGGGCUAGCGUUGUUCGGAAUUACUGGGCGUAAAGCGCACGUAGGCGGACCGGAAAGUCAGAGGUGAAAUCCCAGGGCUCAACCUUGGAACUGCCUUUGAAACUCCUGGUCUUGAGGUCGAGAGAGGUGAGUGGAAUUCCGAGUGUAGAGGUGAAAUUCGUAGAUAUUCGGAGGAACACCAGUGGCGAAGGCGGCUCACUGGCUCGAUACUGACGCUGAGGUGCGAAAGCGUGGGGAGCAAAUGGGAUUAGAUACCCCGGUAGUCC